Mytilus trossulus (common blue mussel) is the source of this 147-nucleotide long non-coding RNA. RefSeq lists it as uncharacterized. The record is from RefSeq and is a predicted model, not a curated record. The transcript is spliced from 3 exons. Lineage: Eukaryota; Metazoa; Mollusca; Bivalvia; Mytilida; Mytilidae.
AGGAAGAAGAGGUUGAAGAUGAACUCAAUAAAAAAGGCCGCCGAAAGUGCAACAACUGUGAAAACAUGUCCGUGUACAAUUGCUAUGAUUGCCAUACAGUUUUAUGUAAGGACUGUACCAGAAAACAUAAUAACGAGAACAAGAAUC